RNAcentral lists this ribosomal RNA (265 nucleotides) under uncultured bacterium. RNAcentral describes it as "partial 16S ribosomal RNA". It matches the Rfam family "Bacterial small subunit ribosomal RNA", at positions 8 to 263 of the family's 1533-position model. The record is from RNAcentral.
AGAGUUUGAUCCUGGCUCAGGACGAACGCUGGCGGCGUGCCUAACACAUGCAAGUCGAGCGGAGACAGUGAGUAGCUUGCUAUGAGCUGUUUUAGCGGCGGACGGGUGAGUAACGCGUGAGCAACCUUUCCCAGACAGGGGAAUAACACACCGAAAGGUGUACUAAUACCGCAUAAGACCACGGGAUCACAUGGUUCUGGGGUAAAAGAUUUUAAUCGGUUUUGGGGUGGGCUCGCGUCCGAUUAGGUAGUUGGUGAGGUAACGG